RNAcentral lists this ribosomal RNA (393 nucleotides) under uncultured bacterium. RNAcentral's name for it is "partial 16S ribosomal RNA". It matches the Rfam family "Bacterial small subunit ribosomal RNA", at positions 338 to 723 of the family's 1533-position model. The record is from RNAcentral.
CCUACGGGUGGCUGCAGUGGGGAAUAUUGCACAAUGGGCGAAAGCCUGAUGCAGCCAUGCCGCGUGUGUGAUGAAGGCCUUCGGGUUGUAAAAUACUUUCAGUCGGGAAGAAAGUGCACUGUUUUAUACCCUUGUGAAUUGACGUUACCUACAGAAGAAGCACCGGCUAACUCCGUGCCAGCAGCCGCGGUAAUACGGAGGGUGCGAGCGUUAAUCGGAAUUACUGGGCGUAAAGCGCACGUAGGCGGUUGAUUGAGUCAAGUGUGAAAUCCCCGGGCUGAACGUGGGAAUUGCAGUUGAAACUGGUCAGCUAGAGUGUGUGAGAGGUGGGUGGAAUGCGAGGUGUAGCGGUGAAAUGCGGAGAGAUGUGGAGGAACACCGGUGGCGAAGGCG